AUGUCUAAGAUAAGCCAUGCACGUCUAAGUACAAACUAAAUGAUGGUGAAACUGCAAAUGGCUCAUUACAACGGUUAUGAUGUACCCGGGAGUUCCGAUGGAUAUUUCCAGUAACACUAGAACUAAUACAUGUCCCUGCGUUUAUUAGUUUCGCACAGUCCGUCGCUGAGUCAUGGUAAACAGUUGAUCGACUCGACGUCCCGGAACAGUUUCCGCCCCAUCAGCUUCGAUGGUUGGGUAUUGGCCUACCAUUGCAACAACGGGUAACGAGGAAUUAGGGUUUGAUUUCGGAGAGGGAGCCUGAGAAACGGCUACCACAUCUACGGAUGGCAGCAGGCGCGCAAAUUACCCAAUGCAGACACUGUGAGGUAGUGACGAGAAAUAAUAAAGCGGGACUUCUGUUUCGCUAUUAUAAUGAGGAAUAACCAAAGGUCAUUCCGAUUAGCAACUGAUGGGAAAGUCUGGUGCCAGCAGCCGCGGUAAUACCAGCGUCAGUAGCA
This 500-nucleotide ribosomal RNA is filed under the name uncultured Myrionecta. RNAcentral's name for it is "SSU rRNA". It matches the Rfam family "Eukaryotic small subunit ribosomal RNA", at positions 34 to 598 of the family's 1831-position model. The record is from RNAcentral. Lineage: Eukaryota; Ciliophora; Litostomatea; Cyclotrichida; Mesodiniidae.